Molecule: unclassified non-coding RNA, 200 nt
Filed under: Myriangiaceae sp.
Lineage: Eukaryota; Fungi; Ascomycota; Dothideomycetes; Myriangiales; Myriangiaceae
Description: partial internal transcribed spacer 2
Source: RNAcentral
UUAAGUUCAGCGGGUAUUCCUACCUGAUCCGAGGUCAACCUUGUAAAAAAGAAGAUUGUACGGCGGAGUCAACCGGUGCUCCUGACGUUCAGAAAUCUAACACGCCGGGGGUCGGUUUCCUCGCCGAUGCAUUUCGGGGGGGGCCUCCGCCUGGGCGGGGGCCUGCUCCCAAUACCAAGCGUGGCUUGAUUGGUGAAAUG